AACGUAGGUGGCGAGCGUUAUCCGGAUUUACUGGGCGUAAAGGGUGUGCAGGCGGGCUGUUAAGUGGUGCAUGAAAUCUCCGCGCUUAACGUGGAGAGGCUGUGCCAGACUGGCAGUCUAGAGUACGAGAGAGGGUUGUGGAAUUCCUGGUGUAGCGGUGAAAUGCGUAGAUAUCUGGAGGAAUACCGGUGGCGAAGGCGGCAUCCUGGACCGGCAUUGACGCUGAGGAGCGAAAGCCAGGGGAGCAAACGGG
This 253-nucleotide ribosomal RNA is filed under the name uncultured bacterium. Its description in RNAcentral is "partial 16S ribosomal RNA". It matches the Rfam family "Bacterial small subunit ribosomal RNA", at positions 524 to 776 of the family's 1533-position model. The record is from RNAcentral.